Molecule: ribosomal RNA, 403 nt
Filed under: uncultured bacterium
Lineage: Bacteria
Description: partial 16S ribosomal RNA
Rfam family: Bacterial small subunit ribosomal RNA
Source: RNAcentral
AUUGAACGCUGGCGGCAGGCCUAACACAUGCAAGUCGAGCGAGCGGCGGACGGGUGAGUAAUGUAUGGGGACUGCCCGUAAGCGGGGGAUAACUACUGGAAACGGUAGCUAAUACCGCACACUAUCGGAUAACCCAUAUGGGAUUAGCUAGUUGGUGGGGUAAAGGCUCACAAAGGCAACGAUCCGUAGCCGGUGUGAGAGGGCGACCAGCAACACUGGGACUGGGACACGGCCCAGACUCCUACGGAGGCAGCAGUGGGGAAUUUUGGACAAUGGGGGAAAGCCUGAUCCAGCCAUGCCGCGUGUAUGAUGAAGGCCUUCGGGUUGUAAAGUACUUUUGGCAGAGAAGCGGUAUCUGCAGAAGAAGCACCGGCUAACUACGUGCCAGCAGCCGCGGUAAUUC